GAUGAACGCUGGCGGCGUGCCUAAUACAUGCAAGUCGAGCGAACGGACGAGAAGCUUGCUUUUCUGAUGUUAGCGGCGGACGGGUGAGUAACACGUGGAUAACCUACCUAUAAGACUGGGAUAACUUCGGGAAACCGGAGCUAAUACCGGAUAAUAUUUUGAACCGCAUGGUUCAAAAAUGAAAGACGGUCUUGCUGUCACUUAUAGAUGGAUCCGCGCUGCAUUAGCUAGUUGGUAAGGUAACGGCUUACCAAGGCAACGAUGCAUAGCCGACCUGAGAGGGUGAUCGGCCACACUGGAACUGAGACACGGUCCAGAAUCCUACGGGAGGCAGCAGUAGGGAAUCUUACGCAAUGGGCGAAAGCCUGACGGAGCAACGCCGCGUGAGUGAUGAAGGUCUUCGGAUCGUAAAACUCUGUUAUUAGGGAAGAACAUAUGUGUAAGUAACUGUGCACAUCUUGACGGUACCUAAUCAGAAAGCUACGGCUAACUACGUG
RNAcentral lists this ribosomal RNA (497 nucleotides) under uncultured bacterium. RNAcentral describes it as "partial 16S ribosomal RNA". It matches the Rfam family "Bacterial small subunit ribosomal RNA", at positions 28 to 507 of the family's 1533-position model. The record is from RNAcentral.